AGAGUUUGAUCAUGGCUCAGAUUGAACGCUGGCGGCAGGCUUAACACAUGCAAGUCGAACGAUGAUUAUCUAGCUUGCUAGAUAUGAUUAGUGGCGGACGGGUGAGUAACAUUUAGGAAUCUGCCUAGUAGUGGGGGAUAGCUCGGGGAAACUCGAAUUAAUACCGCAUACGACCUACGGGUGAAAGGGGGCGCAAGCUCUUGCUAUUAGAUGAGCCUAAAUCAGAUUAGCUAGUUGGUGGGGUAAAGGCCCACCAAGGCGACGAUCUGUAACUGGUCUGAGAGGAUGAUCAGUCACACCGGAACUGAGACACGGUCCGGACUCCUACGGGAGGCAGCAGUGGGGAAUAUUGGACAAUGGGGGCAACCCUGAUCCAGCCAUGCCGCGUGUGUGAAGAAGGCCUUUUGGUUGUAAAGCACUUUAAGCAGGGAGGAGAGGCUAAUGGUUAAUACCCAUUAGAUUAGACGUUACCUGCAGAAUAAGCACCGGCUAACUCUGUGCCAGCAGCCGCGGUAAUACAGAGGGUGCGAGCGUUAAUCGGAAUUACUGGGCGUAAAGCGAGUGUAGGUGGCUCAUUAAGUCACAUGUGAAAUCCCCGGGCUUAACCUGGGAACUGCAUGUGAUACUGGUGGUGCUAGAAUAUGUGAGAGGGAAGUAGAAUUCCAGGUGUAGCGGUGAAAUGCGUAGAGAUCUGGAGGAAUACCGAUGGCGAAGGCAGCUUCCUGGCAUAAUAUUGACACUGAGAUUCGAAAGCGUGGGUAGCAAACAGGAUUAGAUACCCUGGUAGUCCACGCCGUAAACGAUGUCUACUAGCCGUUGGGGUCCUUGAGACUUUAGUGGCGCAGUUAACGCGAUAAGUAGACCGCCUGGGGAGUACGGCCGCAAGGUUAAAACUCAAAUGAAUUGACGG
This 910-nucleotide ribosomal RNA is filed under the name uncultured sponge bacterium. Its description in RNAcentral is "bacterial SSU rRNA". It matches the Rfam family "Bacterial small subunit ribosomal RNA", at positions 8 to 916 of the family's 1533-position model. The record is from RNAcentral.